AUUGAACGCUGGCGGCAUGCUUUACACAUGCAAGUCGAACGGUAACAGGUCUUCGGAUGCUGACGAGUGGCGGAACGGGUGAGUAAUGUAUCGGAACGUGCCCAGUAGUGGGGGAUAACUACUCGAAAGAGUGGCUAAUACCGCAUGAGAACUGAGGUUGAAAGCGGGGGGACCUUCGGGCCUCGCGCUACUGGAGCGGCCGAUAUCAGAUUAGGUAGUUGGUGGGGUAAAGGCCUACCAAGCCGACGAUCUGUAGCUGGUCUGAGAGGACGACCAGCCACACUGGGACUGAGACACGGCCCAGACUCCUACGGGAGGCAGCAGUGGGGAAUUUUGGACAAUGGACGCAAGUCUGAUCCAGCAAUGCCGCGUGCAGGACGAAGGCCUUCGGUGUAACUGCUUUGUACAGACGAAAAGGACUCUGGUUAAUACCUUAGGGGC
This 441-nucleotide ribosomal RNA is filed under the name uncultured bacterium. Its description in RNAcentral is "bacterial SSU rRNA". It matches the Rfam family "Bacterial small subunit ribosomal RNA", at positions 30 to 469 of the family's 1533-position model. The record is from RNAcentral.